This 109-nucleotide ribosomal RNA is filed under the name uncultured eukaryote. Its description in RNAcentral is "partial small subunit ribosomal RNA". It matches the Rfam family "Eukaryotic small subunit ribosomal RNA", at positions 1676 to 1785 of the family's 1831-position model. The record is from RNAcentral.
UCGCUCCUACCGAUUGAGUGAUCCGGUGAAUAAUUCGGACUGCAGCAAUGUUUGGAUCCCAAUCGUUGCAGCGGAAAGUUUGGUGAACCUUAUCACUUAGAGGAAGGAG